AUGCAUGUAUAAGUACAAGCCGUCCCGUACGGUGAAACCGCGAAAGGCUCAUUAAAUCAGUUAUGGUUCCUUAGAUCGUACCCACGUUACAUGGAUAACUGUGGUAAUUCUAGAGCUAAUACAUGCCCACAGAGCUCCGACCAGCGUUUCCAGUCGUACGGCGGUUCGCCCGUCGUCGCUGGACGUUCGGAAGGAGCGCUUUUAUUAUAUCAAAACCCGCCACGCGCGUCGUACACCCUUCAUUGUCCCGUACGUACCCGUAACUGGCCCGCGCAAAGACUUGACCACUCUGAAUAACUUCCAGCUGAUCGCACGGUCCUAGCGACCGGCGACGUAUCUUUCAAAUGUUUGCCUUAUCAACUGUCGACGGUAGGUUCUACGCCUGCCGUGGCGGUAACGGGUAACGGGGAAUCAGGGUUUGAUUCCGGAGAGGGAGCCUGGGAAACGGCUACCCCAUUUAAGGGAGGCAGCAGGCGCGCAAAUUAU
RNAcentral lists this ribosomal RNA (486 nucleotides) under Metaceronema sp. S9B003. RNAcentral describes it as "SSU rRNA". It matches the Rfam family "Eukaryotic small subunit ribosomal RNA", at positions 51 to 444 of the family's 1831-position model. The record is from RNAcentral. Lineage: Eukaryota; Metazoa; Arthropoda; Insecta; Hemiptera; Coccidae.